This 225-nucleotide ribosomal RNA is filed under the name Vibrio cyclitrophicus. Its description in RNAcentral is "partial 23S ribosomal RNA". It matches the Rfam family "Bacterial large subunit ribosomal RNA", at positions 139 to 411 of the family's 2925-position model. Lineage: Bacteria; Pseudomonadati; Pseudomonadota; Gammaproteobacteria; Vibrionales; Vibrionaceae. The record is from RNAcentral.
CAUAAGUAAGUAUCCUGUUGUGAAUACAUAGCAACAGGAGGCAAACCGGGGGAACUGAAACAUCUAAGUACCCCGAGGAAGAGAAAUCAACCGAGAUUCCGAAAGUAGCGGCGAGCGAAAUUGGAUUAGCCCUUAAGCUUUUAAUGAUGCAGGUGAAGAGUCUGGAAAGUCUCGCAAUAAAGGGUGAUAGCCCCGUAACCGACACAUCAUAAUCAGUGAAAACGA